UACGAAGGGGGCUAGCGUUGUUCGGAAUUACUGGGCGUAAAGCGCACGUAGGUGGAUUGCUAAGUCAGGUGUGAAAUCCCGAGGCUCAACCUCGGAACUGCCUUUGAUACUGGCAAUCUCGAGUCCGGGAGAGGUGAGUGGAAUUCCUAGUGUAGAGGUGAAAUUCGUAGAUAUUAGGAAGAACACCAGUGGCGAAGGCGGCUCACUGGCCCGGUACUGACACUGAGGUGCGUCAGCGUGGGGAGCAAACAGG
This 253-nucleotide ribosomal RNA is filed under the name uncultured bacterium. RNAcentral describes it as "partial 16S ribosomal RNA". It matches the Rfam family "Bacterial small subunit ribosomal RNA", at positions 524 to 776 of the family's 1533-position model. The record is from RNAcentral.